This 253-nucleotide ribosomal RNA is filed under the name uncultured bacterium. RNAcentral describes it as "partial 16S ribosomal RNA". It matches the Rfam family "Bacterial small subunit ribosomal RNA", at positions 524 to 776 of the family's 1533-position model. The record is from RNAcentral.
UACGGAGGGUGCAAGCGUUGUCCGGAAUUAUUGGGCGUAAAGAGCUCGUAGGCGGUUUGUCGCGUCGAAUGUGAAAACCCGGGGCUCAACCCCGGGCCUGCAUUCGAUACGGGCAGACUAGAGUUCGGUAGGGGAGUCUGGAAUUCCUGGUGUAGCGGUGAAAUGCGCAGAUAUCAGGAGGAACACCGGUGGCGAAGGCGGGACUCUGGGCCGAUACUGACGCUGAGGAGCGAAAGCGUGGGGAGCAAACAGG